GUUUUUGAUGGUGGUGUGUGGUGGCUUGUGACAAAACCAACAACCAAAGUGCGUAAAUUGCAAACAAAAAAAGAGUAAGAGAAGAGGAAGACACAGAAGUAAAAGAAGAAGAAGAAGAACAACAACGUGAUACAGAUACAACCGCAUUUGGUCACAGAUAGAGAGAAAGAGAGAGAGAGAGAUAGAGAGAGAGAGAGACGCACAGCGUUAGAGGUAAGCAAACGCAAGUAUGUGAAUUUUUGUUGAUGUUGUCGAGGAGCGUCUGUUGGGGAGGGACCCGGGGGAGGUGCGCACAAUGGGAAUGAGGCAUAUUUGCCAGAAAGGGAAAACCUGAAUUGACUACACACAAGCACACACACACUCGCACUCACUCCAAAGCGGCUACAGUUAAACGCGAAGCAGAAGAGGAAGAUGAUGAAGUAGAAACGCGUCGCUGGAAGCCGAAGUAAAAGAAAAAGGAACAAGAAGCAGACGCGACAGCGACAGCGACUGCGACGGCGACUGGAACAGAAGAAGCUAAACAGAAAGCACAAAAAAUAAACGAGAAGCAAAAAAAUCUCAUAUUAUUUUGGCCUUCAAAAAAUUUUGGCGGGCAAUGAACCAACAACAACUGAGAGAGCGCGCACACGCACACGAACACAAGAGCGGAGAUAGACAAACAGACAGACGGCCAAAGUCGGAGGCAGAGACAGAGGCUUUUAUACAUAUGUACAUAGCAUAUACAAAUGUAUAUACAAUAGUAUAUACAAAUGAAACAGACACAUGAUCAAGAGCAGGAGUGCCUGGUUGGGAGGGGGCUACAUUGGUGGACUCAUGGCUCCCCUCCCCCAUGACUAGCAAGUAGCAGCAGCAGCAGCAGCGGCAGCGGGCGGGCACAUGCCCGUGUGUGAGUCGGGUUUGCCUUCCUAAAAUGUCUAAGCCCCCUUUCACCCCCUCAUCCAUAACCAUGGCAAAAGCAGCUCGAACUUAUCCUCCGCCCUUCUGUUGAACAACGCAUUGCGUGCAGACUUUCAAGUAGACAGCAUCGAACGGAGACACUGAGAGAGAGAGAGGCAGAGCGAGAGCGCGCGAGAGUGCGACAUGGGUAUGCGAAACGCAGUCGCCGGCCGGCACAGCGCAGUAAGCGCCUCUUUCAAUCCAUUUCGCCCGCUGCCCUCCCCCUACACAAACGAGCAAGCACGCUCGCGUAAACGACAAGAUAUGUAUGUACAUACAUAUGUGCAUAUCUGUAUGUAUGUAUGUAUGUACAUAUGUUUACGUAGCGAAAUUGGAAAGAAAAAUUAAAACUUGAACAAAUUAAUUUUGUACGGGACUGUUCCGAGCUUUCACGUAUUUUUUCAAGCAACCACAGUGCAGACUUGUGAGGGGUUCCACUCACGCACACUCCGACCAGCACACACACAUAAUGCCAGACGGACAAGAAAAAAACAACAACGACUUGCGACGGCAUACCCAAUGCGCCAAAAAGGCAGAAGGAAGCGGGCAGAGGGGCUGCAGCUACAUGGAGGAACUUAUGCCACAUCCAUAAAAGUACAAUGUGUGGUAAUGAAUAAGGGGGGCAGGCGGGCAGCCCGGGCAAGGAUCUCCAGACAGUGGACCACGGACCAUGGACAGCGGACUUCAGAGGCAGAAGCAGAGGCGACAGCGACAGCGACGGCGGCGGCGGCAUCGUUUCACACGGUCAUGCUUUACAUGGGUUUCUAUUGGCUGGUCUCACACUCUUCAAUUGAAGAGUAACUGACUACGACCGGACUAUGCACUCAAGUUGGCAGCCCUUUCCUUCAUCCUGCUGAUGGAUAUUGAAGUGUGGCUGAUACUACGGAUUGGCCAAAUAGCUUCGGAGAAACACCUAGUGCCUAAGACUAUACUAUCAAUAAAUGAAUACUGUCUGGGAAGAGUACCAUUUGUGCCUGCUGAAGAGUUUGUCAUCGUUUGUAUCUUUAACUGUCGUUCAAUAUAAUACCCAUAUGUACAUAUACUUAUAAAUCUGUGUAUUUUCUUUCAUGUGCUGCCAAAUAGAUCAUGGAGUAUUUAACGACCUAGGAUUAAGAGACUCUUGACGCUUUGAAAUACCCGAAAAUAUGAUUGAAAUAUAACUCUACUUAAAAUUAUAAAAAAGGUAUGUAAAUU
RNA transcript from Drosophila miranda, 2130 nucleotides. RefSeq lists it as uncharacterized. NCBI's taxonomy places the organism in Eukaryota, Metazoa, Arthropoda, Insecta, Diptera, Drosophilidae. The record is from RefSeq and is a predicted model, not a curated record. The transcript has 4 exons.